GCCUGGCUAGUUCAGUCGGUAGGGCACGUGACUCUUGAUCUUAGGGUUGUGAGUUCAAGCCCCAUGUUGGGCC
RNAcentral lists this transfer RNA (73 nucleotides) under Felis catus (domestic cat). It matches the Rfam family "tRNA". From Rfam's summary of the family: Transfer RNA (tRNA) molecules are approximately 80 nucleotides in length. Their secondary structure includes four short double-helical elements and three loops (D, anti-codon, and T loops). Lineage: Eukaryota; Metazoa; Chordata; Mammalia; Carnivora; Felidae. The record is from Rfam by way of RNAcentral.